Molecule: ribosomal RNA, 274 nt
Filed under: uncultured bacterium
Lineage: Bacteria
Description: partial 16S ribosomal RNA
Rfam family: Bacterial small subunit ribosomal RNA
Source: RNAcentral
AUACGGAGGGUGCGAGCGUUACUCGGAGUCACUGGGCGUAAAGCGUCCGUAGGCGGUCGGGUAAGUCGGGUGUGAAAGCCCCGGGCUCAACCUGGGAAGUGCACCCGAUACUGCUCGACUCGAGUGCGGGAGAGGAUGGCGGAAUUCCCGGUGUAGCGGUGAAAUGAGUAGAGAUCGGGACGAACACCAGUGGCGAAGGCGGCCGUCUGGCCCGCAACUGACGCUGAGGGACGAAAGCGUGGGGAGCAAACAGGAUUAGAUACCCUUGUAGUCC